Oncorhynchus keta (chum salmon) is the source of this 557-nucleotide long non-coding RNA. RefSeq lists it as uncharacterized. The record is from RefSeq and is a predicted model, not a curated record. Lineage: Eukaryota; Metazoa; Chordata; Actinopteri; Salmoniformes; Salmonidae. The transcript has 3 exons.
UAAUAAACAGGUAAUAUAUCUGUAGCAGCUAUAAUAAAUAGGUAAUAUAUCUGUAACAGCUGUAAUAAAUAGGUAAUAUAUCUGUAGCAGCUAUAAUAAAUAGGUAAUAUAUCUGUAACAGCUAUAAUAAACAGGUAAUAUAUCUGUAGCAGCUAUAAUAAAUAGGUAAUAUAUCUGUAACAGCUAUAAUAAAUAGGUAAUAUAUCUGUAACAGCUAUAAUAAAUAGGUAAUAUAUCUGUAACAGCUAUAAUAAAUAGGUAAUAUAUCUGUAACAGCUGUAAUAAAUAGGUAAUAUAUCUGUAACAGUGUAACAGCUGUAAUAAAUAGGUAAUAUAUCUGUAACAGCUAUAAUAAAUAGGUAAUAUAUCUGUAACAGCUAUAAUAAAUAGGUAAUAUAUCUGUAGCAGUGUAACAGCUAUAAUAAAUAGGUAAUAUAUCUGUAACAGCUAUAAUAAAUAGGUAAUAUAUCUGUAACAGCUAUAAUAAAUAGGUAAUAUAUCUGUAACAGCUAUAAUAAAUAGGUAAUAUAUCUGUAACAGCUAUAAUAAAUAGGUAA